This 45-nucleotide non-coding RNA is filed under the name Schistosoma bovis. RNAcentral also lists the same sequence under 1 other name. The record is from RNAcentral. Lineage: Eukaryota; Metazoa; Platyhelminthes; Trematoda; Strigeidida; Schistosomatidae.
AUCUAGCUGACGAGUCCUAAAUAGGACAAGACUCAUGUCCUGAAU